RNAcentral lists this ribosomal RNA (451 nucleotides) under uncultured bacterium. RNAcentral's name for it is "partial 16S ribosomal RNA". It matches the Rfam family "Bacterial small subunit ribosomal RNA", at positions 28 to 507 of the family's 1533-position model. The record is from RNAcentral.
AGCGAACGCUGGCGGCAUGCCUAACACAUGCAAGUCGCACGGGGGGGCUUCGGCCUCCCAGUGGCGGGCGGGUGAGGAACGCGUAGGGACCUGUCGAGGGGUGGGGGAUAACCGCGGGAAACUGCGGCUAAUACCGCAUGACGCCGCGGCGUGACAGCCGGGGCCAAAGGCGAAAGCCGCCCGCCGAGGGGCCUGCGUCCGAUUAGCUGGUUGGCGGGGUAGCGGCCCACCAAGGCGUCGAUCGGUAGCUGGUCUGAGAGGGUGAUCAGCCACACCGGGACUGAGACACGGCCCGGACUCCUACGGGAGGCAGCAGUGGGGAAUAUUGGACAAUGGGCGCAAGCCUGAUCCAGCAAUGCCGCGUGGGUGAAGAAGGUCUUCGGAUUGUAAAGCCCUUUCGGCGGGGACGAUGGUGACGGUACCCGCAGAAGAAGCCCCGGCUAACUUCGUG